This is a small nucleolar RNA of Vitis vinifera (wine grape), 116 nucleotides long. It matches the Rfam family "Small nucleolar RNA Z278". Rfam says of the family: snoZ278 is a C/D box small nucleolar RNA. The record is from Rfam. NCBI's taxonomy places the organism in Eukaryota, Viridiplantae, Streptophyta, Magnoliopsida, Vitales, Vitaceae.
ACCAGUGAUGAUACAAUCCAAUUAAUUGAGACGUGGUGGAGCCAAGACCCUGUUUACAGGGAGAACCUACUUGGUGAAGCCACAUAUCAUAUGACAUCAAUGGAUUCAACUGAGGU